AAGGAUUUAGGUUAAAAAUAAACCUGGGACCUUCAAAGUCCCUAAUAAAGAAGACUUUAAGCCUUA
Molecule: transfer RNA, 66 nt
Filed under: Lucanus cervus
Lineage: Eukaryota; Metazoa; Arthropoda; Insecta; Coleoptera; Lucanidae
Description: tRNA-Trp
Source: RNAcentral